GAAAAUGCUAGAGACCCCAAAAAAUUGUCCCAAAUAAUUUUCCCAAAUGAUGUGUCCAAAUCUGAUUGGCUGAAUUCACUCCCAUAAUAAUGAGACCUCCCUGCAGAUUCAUCAAUCACCCAAUCAUAACUAGCCACUUGUUUGCCACAUCAUUUUGGUAAAGAUUUUUGGGAAUUUUUUUGGGGGUCUCUAGCAUUGCCC
This 201-nucleotide long non-coding RNA is filed under the name Daucus carota (carrot). RNAcentral's name for it is "long non-coding RNA (DCAR_LNC004544)". Lineage: Eukaryota; Viridiplantae; Streptophyta; Magnoliopsida; Apiales; Apiaceae. The record is from RNAcentral.